GAUGAACGCUGGCGGCGUGCCUAAUACGUGCAAGUCGAGCGAACGGACGAGAAGCUUGCUUCUCUGAUGUUAGCGGCGGACGGGUGAGUAACACGUGGAUAACCUACCUAUAAGACUGGGAUAACUUCGGGAAACCGUAGCUAAUACCGGAUAAUAUUUUGAACCGCAUGGUUCAAAAGUGAAAGACGGUCUUGCUGUCACUUAUAGAUGGAUCCGCGCUGCAUUAGCUAGUUGGUAAGGUAACGGCUUACCAAGGCAACGAUGGAUAGCCGACCUGAGAGGGUGAUCGGCCACACUGGAACUGAGACACGGUCCAGACUCCUACGGGAGGCAGCAGUAGGGAAUCUUCCGCAAUGGGCGAAAGCCUGACGGAGCAACGCCGCGUGAGUGAUGAAGGUCUUCGGAUCGUAAAACUCUGUUAUUAGGGAAGAACAUAUGUGUAAGUAACUGUGCACAUCUUGACGGUACCUAAUCAGAAAGCCACGGCUAACUACGUG
Molecule: ribosomal RNA, 497 nt
Filed under: uncultured bacterium
Lineage: Bacteria
Description: partial 16S ribosomal RNA
Rfam family: Bacterial small subunit ribosomal RNA
Source: RNAcentral